AUGGACCCAGUGCCGAGCCUGGUCAAGGAGGAGGAGGAGGAGGGUGCCCACGGGACAGGCGAUUCGCCGGCGGUCGGGGCGGCGCCAAGGCCGAUGGAGGGGCUGCACGACGCCGGGCCGCCGCCGUUCCUGACGAAGACGUACGACAUGGUCGAUGACCCCAACACCGACAGCAUCAUGUCGUGGAGCGCCGGCAACAACAGCUUCGUGGUGUGGGAUCCGCACGCCUUCGCCACCGUGCUGCUGCCCAGGCAGUUCAAGCACAGCAACUUCUCCAGCUUCGUCAGGCAGCUCAACACCUAUGGCUUCAGAAAGGUGGAUCCUGACAGAUGGGAGUUUGCCAAUGAGGGUUUCCUACGGGGACAGAGGCACCUUCUGAAGAACAUCAGGCGUCGUAAACCUCCCGCUCAUACUGCCUCAAAUCAGCAGUCCCUUGGAUCUUACCUUGAGGUGGGGCACUUCGGAUAUGAUGCAGAGAUUGACCGGCUGAAAAGGGACAAGCAACUGUUGAUGGCAGAAGUGGUGAAGCUAAGGCAGGAACAGCAGAACACGAAGGCGCGUCUGAAAGCCAUGGAGGAUAGGCUAUGUGGAACCGAGCAGAAGCAGCAGCAGAUGACGUCAUUCAUGGCACGUAUCUUGCGGAACCCUGAAUUCUUGAAGCAACUGAUUGCCAAGAAUGGGAUGAGGAAGGAGCUCCAUGACGCUAUCUCGAAGAAAAGGAGGCGCCGCAUCGACGGUGGACCUGAAGCUUAUGCCAUGGGUGCUAGUAGCAGCAGCCUGGACCAAGAGUUGCCUGUUGUGUUUGAUUCUCAUGGGUCAGUGGAACUUCUUGCCGAGGGGUCGGUGCCGGUGGAACUCCUUUCUGACGGGAUCCCACCCGAUCUGGAAGGCUCAGUGGACCUCCUUGGUGACGAGAUCCCACCUGGCCUGGAAGGUUCAGUGGCACUCCUUGCUGACGGCCUGGAAGGUUCCGUGGAACUCCUUGUUGAUGGGAUUCCAUCUGAUCUCGACGCAGGUAUCGACUCUAACGGCGUAACAGAGCCACAGGAUUAUGGUCUCGGUACCUGUGAAGCGCAGCAGAACAGAGCCCCGGGGCUGUUCCAUGAUAAUUUCUGGGAGGAGCUGCUGAACAAAGGACUCAGCGUUGAGAACGACGAGCCGGUUAACGUAGACGGCAUGGAUGUGCUGUCUGAGAAGAUGGGUUAUCUCAUCCCAAAUAGCCCAACCCUCUCAACCUAG
RNAcentral lists this ribosomal RNA (1239 nucleotides) under Triticum aestivum (bread wheat). RNAcentral describes it as "partial small subunit ribosomal RNA". Lineage: Eukaryota; Viridiplantae; Streptophyta; Magnoliopsida; Poales; Poaceae. The record is from RNAcentral.